Podarcis lilfordi (Lilford's wall lizard) is the source of this 5283-nucleotide non-coding RNA. The record is from the annotation of a GenBank genome assembly. NCBI's taxonomy places the organism in Eukaryota, Metazoa, Chordata, Lepidosauria, Squamata, Lacertidae.
CAUGGUGACCAUUAACCCAUUCCGUAUUUGCCAGGAGGAGGAGGGUGCUCUUAUCGCUAGGCCUUCCCUUCCUUUCUCAGGUUAGUGUAGCCCAUUAGCUCUCUUAUAUUGACAUCGCUGGUUCCUGGUGGAGACUGGGGAAAUGGAGUCACAGGGAAAUGCACCCGUAAGGAAUGGGGAAAGAUCCAGAGUCCUCCUGCCUUCCAGCCUUGUCCUCUGGUCCAUCUUCACUCAGGUGCCAGUGGGCUUCAUGGCUGAGUGGAGAUUUGAACUCUGGUCUCCAGGCUACUCUAACCACUACACUACGCUGGCUCCUUGAACCUUCUUGCACUCUACUCCCUGGGGACACUGGAGACCAUAGAACUGUAGAGUUAGAAGGCCCACCAGGGUCAUCUAGUCCAACCCCCUGCAAUGCAGGAACCUUUUGCCCAACAUGAGGCUUGAACCCACAACCUUGAAAUUAGGAGUCUUAUGCUUUACCGACCGAGCUAUCCCAGCUUGGAUCCUGUCGCUCCAUCACAAUGGCCAUCACUUUAUUGUUCCCUUUUCUCAGAGAGCCAGGGGGUCCUUCCACCUCAGCCCCAAAACGUGCAAAGUGAUAAUAAUAAAGAUGAUAGUGCCUCUGAGCACACACAGAGUGAUCCCCCUCUUACAGCUGGAAAGGAAGCGACGUUUUAAUGAAUCGAACUACUGGUCCAUUUAGCUCAGAAGUGUCUAUGCAAAGUGACAGUGGCUCUCAAGGAAUUCAGGCAGUCUCUCCCAGAGUCCCAUCCCUGCCUGGUGAGGAAGGAAUCAUUGCAGCUCAUAAUCUGAGUUUUAUAGUAGCCUAAUCUAUACUCUGAUACCUAUCAAUCCAUUUAGAUCCUAUCUCACAGGAAACUCUGUUUCUAUGGUCAUGAAGAGGAGAUAUUUUUGUUUGAAAUAAAGUUUAUUGAAGUCUUAUUUACAUUAUAUUACAGAGUAAAUAAUGGAUUGUUUUUUUGGCCCAGUCCCACCUCCAUAGCAAGGAGGACUGGGGUCGGGACGUUUUUAUUAACCAUAAUAAUAAUAAUAAUAAUAAUAAUAAUCAUUAAUAACCAUUAAUAACAAUUUUCUUGUAAUUAAUUAUUUUUUUCUUUUUUUAAAAAAAGGUUUCUUUGUUGGUUAAUUCAUCCCCUCCCCCUCCCCUUAGGUUCCCCUUCCCCCCCAACCCCAUUCACCCCAAAAUUCUAGGAUGCAGCCUAAGAAAAUAGAAUCAGUCCCACCUCUCCAGACCAGCUGCACCAAUUCUGCCUCCAUGACCACAGGGUCCACUUUUCCCACCGUGGCAGGCACUCUCCUCCCCGUGUUUCAAAAGUUGCAUUCCAUAUUUAACCUUAGACGCUUACAGAGAAUAAAAUACUCAGCUGGUUCCAAGAUGUCUCUCUGUGUGUGCAAAUUUAAGUCUUGUAAGCACCACCAGAAUAUUUCCACUUCCUCUGCCCAGGUGUGGCAGAGAGCUUUCACAAUAGGGAAAGAAAAUGAUUUAAUUGGCAUAAAAACUAAUACUUUGCCUUUGAGUGUGCCACACAUAUCGGUAUACGUCUGUUUAUUCCAAAACGCUUUUUCUAGCUUUAAUGCUGCUGACAAAAUGCCCCUAUUCCUAUUCUCCUUAGUCUGUGUAAAUGUACAAGAUGGCUUUUAGCCCUUAUAUGACUUCUUCCAUCCCAAGGGUUGUUUGUAUCCAUGCACAGGGGGGAAGGAAGCAAGGCUUAGAGAUGUUUUAAUGCUUUCAGUACCAAAAUUCAUCACGACACUAUUAAAUAUGCCACCCCUCACCCCCUCUCCUGUGGGGCUCUUGCACUUUUAACCACUCCGUGGUGGGUGGAAGUUGAACAGGUGCAGCUUUUCACAGUGAUGGCGAAGGCUUCACCUGUUGAAUUUUUGUUUGUCCUCAUGCACCUGUGAAAGCCACAGGAGAAAGCUCUGCCCUCCCCAAAGAUGGCAGAUUACUUAAAACGGUAAAAGCAAAACGUUUUCCCUCGCUUCUCUCAACUGUUUCUGGUUUCUGGCAUGACUGUUUGUUCAACAGAGAGCCCCAAAUGCAGGGCUGCCAGAUCUAGACUCAGAAUCCCCUUGUACCUUCAAGGCUUGCAUGGGAGAGAAAUUCUUACCGAGUGUGGCUUUUUCUACUCUUAAAGGCACAGAAAGCCUCUCAGAGGCAGGCCCACCAACCUUACCUAAAGGGAAUUUGCUACAUUUUCUCUAUGGUUUCCCUUCCUCCCCAAGAACAACCUCAGCUCGCAAGGAGAGGAACACAGAUCAACUUGGAUUGAUGGAGAGGUGUAGAGGGCAAGUCUAUCCUUUGAUGACUGCAAGGGUUCGCUUGCCUGUGUGAAUGAGCCAUUUGAUACCAGACAAGAUUGAUACACCUUUCCUAUCAUCUCAGAGCAAUGUUUACCCCCCCCAAUGGAUUUGGUACACACAUUCAAUCAGGGUGGGGUGGGUGGUUGAGUCACCCGUCAAAAGAACUCAAGUGAUGCCGCUUGAGUAAUAAUACAUCGGUAUCAGAAAGGUGACGUAUAAAUCCUUUAUAAUAAAUAAAGUGUGUGUUGUCUGAAUGAUGCAAAGGUGAUUUUGCAGUGAGGAGCGAACAACUUCACCGUAGGCGAUCAUCUCAGCCAUCCGUAUGAAAUUCAUGUGAAGUGGGACAGAGAUUACCGAGAAGCUGACAGUUGCCUUAAUUUUAGUGGACAAACUCCUGUGUCUUUAAGAGCUUCACGACACUCAAGAAAUGCAUAGCUGAAGUUUUCCCUGCAUUGCUGCAUCUCUAGGGACAGGGUCUCCUGCUGGAGCAAUGGAUGAAGACACAGGUGGUUGCCCAUACAGAAUGGAGCAAUAGUUGCUGGGGCCAUGAUUCCUACUCCACUGGCACUUUCUUGAUGUGUGAGAAGUCCACUCACACCCUACAAUACUUUUUUAAAAAGACAAAAAACAUGCCUUAUGCUGUAAUCCAAUGCUGACAUACCUGGGGGUAUGCCCUCACUGAACAUAGUGAGACUUCCUUCCGGGUAAACAUACAUGGGAUUGUGCUUCAGUUUCCCUUGCUGUAAUGUGAUCCUGCGUUCAAACUGCCCAUGUAUGGAUUCUGUAUGUUGUCAUGGUUCUGCUUUAGACACUUAGUCAUGGGUUUGCUUUUCGUGAAUUGUCUUGAGAUGUAUGAUUGGUAGCAUUAAAAACAACAGCCACCAUAACCCUUUAGAAAAUUGAGCAUCCUGAACGGGGGGAUAUUUUAUCAAAUAAUACUUUGGGAGGAGGUGUAGGGAAUAGCAUUCCUCCCCUCCCUACUCCAUAAAUUCAAGUGUGUUACUUUUAAAUAACAUGCUUAUAACUAGGGCUGCAAUGCUGAAUCAAUCAAUCAAUCAAUCAAUCAAUCAGGUAAACUCAAUUAAAACAUUUUGAUUGACUAAAAAAAGCUGUCCCUGAUUAACAUCAUGUAAAAACAAAGUUUGCAUUAGGCUGUAUCCAACUAGGUUCUAGUCAGAGUAAACCCACUGAACUUAAUGGACCUACGUUAGUAAUGCCCAUUAAUUUCAGCGGUUCAUCUCUGAAUAUGACUAAUUGGAUGCAGCCCAUUCCCCCACCCCCGCCUUAUAUGCACAUUUAUUCAGAUUUGAUUUAUAGUACAGUUCUGUUGACCAAGUCUUGGGCUGAUUAACUUUCUGUGUCCUUUUAAAUGUGUUUGUGGGAUGGAGGGUUAUCAGUCUGUCUUGGUUUUUUUUAAAUGUAAUUUGUGUUCUCAUUUUGUAUUUUUAUGUUGUGAACCGAUGAAGGGCGGUAUAAUAAUAAUAAUAAUAAUAAUAAUAAUAAUAGUGUUAGAAGUCUGCUCAGAAAUAAGUCAUUGAGUGAGUGCAAUGGGCUUCAAUUCUAAGCCUACUUACUAGGGAAGUAAUUCCAACUGAACUUAGUGGGACUUACUUUUGAGGAAACAUGCAUAGGGUUGAGCAGUAAGAAGUUGGUGAGUGUUGCAUUCAUUACAUUUGUUUCUGAAUUGUAAGAGCAGUGGUGGAAAACUGCAAUGGGAAGACCAGGGUAACAACUUGAUGGCCAUGUCAUAGAACCUCUGCACAAAUUUUGUGAAAACAAACCAAGAGGAUGGUUCAAUAUCUGCUUUGUCUGAUGGUGACCUAUGUCAGGAAACCUGAGGGCCCAUAAGCCAACCUGGGCCUGCUUUGUUUUCCUGUCUACAACCUUGCUGCACCAUUGGCUGGCUUGCUCUCAUGCCUUGAGCAUCAACCUGAUUUGCAAAAAUGAGCAAAUAAUGCUUUUCAAAACCUGGAAACUUGACACCAUCACCUGCUAAAGUCUGUAUAUCAAACUGCUGUUAAAAGCACUACUACAGUGACCACGUGGAAAGUUGGCAACUUUGCUUGCAGUUGCCCUAUGACCUCUAUAAAUUCCUCACACCCCAUCUCUCUCUCUCUGCCUCCCAUUUCAGGCUAUUAUUUAUUUAUUGCACAGCCCCAGCCCCACGGAGACUAGAUGUCCAGUUGCAAAGGAAAAAUUGCGGGUCCUAUGUCAAGCAGAUUUCCAAGGAGGUUUCCAUGCCUAUCAAAUCUAUUUGGAAAAUGGAAAAAAGAGGAGACUGACACCUUACAACCGUUAGCUGCAAAGCUGUCCUCCUACAAGAAGCCAUCAUCACUGCACCUAUGUUGCUGCUUGGCGAUGGCUAUUGCUGCUGACCUGACCGAACCUCUGAGCCACACACUCUGCUCUCCUCUCUUUAUUUGCACUUUGGAAUCAGAAGCCAUCCUUUGUAUUCCUUCCAUCCUGCAUUCUGAGUUGCCUUUUUUUGUUAAAUCUCUACAUUUAUGGACCCACCACCUCCCUGAUCUGGUAUUGCUAUGGAAGCUUGGCUCACAACAGUCCAGUUAUUUAAAAAAAAACCUGAGGCCCUAGUAGGGAGUGACAUGAGUAGCAGCAGUCCUGAAAGUUGCACCCAUUUGCUUUCUGCUUUCUGAGCAACUGCUUGUAUUUCCAGAGCUUCCCUCCCCCUGCAAAUAAAUAAAUAAAUACUGGCAAAUAAAUAAAUAAAUAAAUAAAUAUCACAACAACAACAGAUGAAACACAGGUUCCCAAACUCAAUAUAGCUUGACAAGGGCAGCAAUGAUUGAGUGCAUUGGACAACUGGAAAUAAUGGGGUGGGACUUAUUAUGGGAUUAAUGGAAGGUUGAGGAGUGAGUGCCUUCUCUUCCCUCCCCCUAAUCUGCAAAUUAUAGAUUUAGGGCUAAGAUUGGUACAACCCAACUGCAGACUGGAGGCGGC